ACGCACGCUGGCGGCGUGCUUAACACCUGCCAGUCGAACGGAAAGGCCCUGCUUUUGUGGGGUGCUCGAGUGGCGAACGGGUGAGUAACACGUGAGUAACCUGCCCUUGACUUUGGGAUAACUUCAGGAAACUGGGGCUAAUACCGGAUAGGAGCUCCUGCUGCAUGGUGGGGGAUGGAAAGUUUCGGCGGUUGGGGAUGGACUCGCGGCUUAUCAGCUUGUUGGUGGGGUAGUGGCUUACCAAGGCUUUGACGGGUAGCCGGCCUGAGAGGAUGACCGGCCACAUUGGGACUGAGAUACGGCCCAGACUCCUACGGGAGGCAGCAGUGGGGAAUAUUGCACAAUGGGCGGAAGCCUGAUGCAGCAACGCCGCGUGCGGGAUGACGGCCUUCGGGUUGUAAACCGCUUUCGCCUGUGACGAAGCGUGAGUGACGGUAAUGGGUAAAGAAGCACCGGCUAACUACGUG
Molecule: ribosomal RNA, 467 nt
Filed under: uncultured bacterium
Lineage: Bacteria
Description: partial 16S ribosomal RNA
Rfam family: Bacterial small subunit ribosomal RNA
Source: RNAcentral